UUCCUACGGGAGGCAGCAGUGAGGGAUAUUGGCAAUGGGCGAAAGCCUGACGCUGCGACGCCGCGUGGGUGAUGAAGGUCUUCGGAUCGUAAAACCCUUUUCUGCGUGACGAUGAUGACGGUAGCGCAGGAAGAAGUGUCGGCUAACUACGUGCCAGCAGCCGCGGUAAAACGUAGGACGCAAACGUUAUCCGGAAUUACUGGGCGUAAAGGGCGCGCAGGCGGUUGGAUAAGUGAGGCAUGAAAGCCCCAUGGCUAAACCUGGGGAGGUUGUCUGAGACUGUCUGACUGGAGUGCGAUAGAGGGGUGUAGAAUUCCGCGUGUAGUGGUGAAAUGCGUAGAGAUGCGGAGGAAUACCAGAGGCGAAGGCGGCACCCUGGAUCGUGACUGACGCUGAGGCGCGAAAGCAUGGGUAGCGAACGGGAUUAGAAACCCCGGUAGUCCAUGCCGUAAACGAUGUGUACUCGAUGUUCGGCCUACAUUGUAGGUUGAGUGUCUAAGCAAACGCGGUAAGUACACCGCCUGGGGAGUACGGUCGCAAGGCUAAAACUCAAAGGAAUUGACGGGGGCCCGCACAAGCAGCGGAGCGUGUGGUUUAAUUCGAGGUUACGCGAAGAACCUUACCUGGACUUGACAUACUGGUGGUAGGGAACCGAAAGGGGACCGACCUUCGGGAGCCAGUACAGGUGCUGCAUGGCUGUCGUCAGCUCGUGUCGUGAGAUGUUCGGUUAAGUCCGAAAACGAGCGCAACCCUCGGCGUGUGUUACAGGUGUCACACGCGACUGCCCGUGACAAACGGGAGGAAGGUGGGGAUGACGUCAAGUCAGCAUGGCCUUUAUGUUCAGGGCUACACACACGCUACAAUGGGCGGUACAAUGGGUCGCGAAGCCGCGAGGCGGAGCCAAUCCUGAAAAGCCGUUGUAGUUCGGAUUGCAGGCUGCAACUCGCCUGCAUGAAGUCGGAGUUGCUAGUAACCGCAGAUCAGCCACACUGCGGUGAAUACGUUCCCGGGCCUUGUACACACCGCCAA
This 1029-nucleotide ribosomal RNA is filed under the name uncultured Chloroflexota bacterium. RNAcentral describes it as "bacterial SSU rRNA". It matches the Rfam family "Bacterial small subunit ribosomal RNA", at positions 336 to 1396 of the family's 1533-position model. The record is from RNAcentral. Lineage: Bacteria; Bacillati; Chloroflexota.